CAUGUGUUAGAUAUGGCCCUCAGGGAACACCCAUUCUGGAAUGAAGUGACAUCACAUCGCUUUGGGAUUUCACGGUCAUCCAGUUAUGCUCUGAGCUCACUGCUCUCAGGAAGCUAGCAGGUUAGACACUUUAAUCAAGAAGGGAGAGCUCUGAGUCCUGUGAGAUAUUCCUGUAGCUCAGAGAUUAAUUUUAACUAAAUGGAAAUGUCUCAUGAAAUAAAAGCAAGAUUGAGCCUUUAUGGAAAAUUUUAGAACUGUACAUGGCAACAAUCCCAAGAUGAAACACCAGGGUCCAAAGGUAAUCUUAAAGAGAUGCUUAUAGGGUCACUCAAGGCAGCUGCAAUGACCUAUCAUGAACAUAAUGUCCUAAUGUGCAAAUCUUUAUGCUAUAUCUAUAUAUACAAAUGGAGGGUUAAAUACUCACCUAGCUAUUUUUAGAUGU
This 442-nucleotide long non-coding RNA is filed under the name Bos taurus (domestic cattle). Its description in RNAcentral is "long non-coding RNA NONBTAT013653". The record is from RNAcentral. Lineage: Eukaryota; Metazoa; Chordata; Mammalia; Artiodactyla; Bovidae.